AUUGAGAAGUAUCAUAUGGCUUAGAAACAGGAAUGUACACAAGAUGGCAUAGAUGCUAGUGCCAGCAGUGAAUACUUGCAGUGAUGCGUUUAUCUGUGCUGACUUUACUCAUGAAUGCAUCUGAUGUGUUAGUUGCUUUUCCCUGGUGUUUUGUAAAGGAGUACUUUACCUUCCUUUUCAUUGUGCAGAAGGGAAAUGAACGCUUGUACUAGGAAACCAGGAAUAAUGCAGCUCUAGGCUCCUGUAUGGGCUCAAAGAGACACAGGCUUUGCUAGUAACUUCCAAAUAAAUCCCCUGCAGCAAAAUCAAGAGGAUUUUUUUUUUCCUCCUUCCUCUUUGGAGAACUACAGAAUAUUAACAACUUUAACAUAAUUUAAAAAAAAAAAAGGAAAGAGUUACUGCCAGGUGCCAAGGGUGAUGUUCUCCAGCCAGUGCCAGUUCUGUGCUGAUUGCCUGUAGUGAGGAGAACAGAUGGGGCCCUGGUGGCCUCACCACCCCACCUCCCCCUUCUUUCAACAGGCAUUUUCUUAGGCCAUGAAGAGGAGUUGGAGGCUUUUGCCUCUCUAGCUUUGGGUCUUGGCUGCUCGUGCAUGAAUUUGCACAGAGCCUCUGGGGAGGGAAUAUUCAGUCUCAUGGAGUUCCCCAGGGCCACAGCCAGCAAGCCCUGCCUGCAUCCUGCUGUACUGCUAGAGAAAACUGGGAUCCUGCACUUGUGUUGCAUUGGUCACUCCCUUGCACUUGAAUGGCCCAAUAUAAAGCUCAGGUGUUAAAUUGUGGACUGAACUGCUUGUAAAACAGCCGCCUUACUCAUCAUGCUGCUCCAGGGCAUGCAAUAGCAUCCUGUCUUAUCAUGGAGAAUGCUUUUGAUCGAGUUGGUCCAGAUGAUGGGUGAAGCGUGGCCUGCGAGAAGCAGCAUGUCCAGAGCACCCUGCAAUGGCUUGUUCAGUUGUUGGCAGCCUGAAAGGCUGAGCAAUCUCGAGCUAACUCCUGUGCACAGUGUUGCAUUACCUCAAGCUCGGAUUGGACUGCUGGCUGUGCCUGCUGUCUCUGUCUCAGUGGAGUGGUAGUCUGCUCCUCCAAUGGAAAAGUUGCUUGGGGAGUAAUGGGGUCCUUGGCCAUUCCCACAGAACAAUACUAUUGUGUAUUGCAUCCAGCACUGGCCAUCAUGUGAUUGAUAAAACCUAUAGAAGAUAAUGGCCCACGUUGUCACUCCUCACCCUUAACAACAUGCAUGUUUAGACUGUCAGUCUUUAACAAAACACUAGCAUUAAAACAUUUAACUUGAAGUUAGGAACCAACCAGUUCAUCCUUACUUCAGGCUAGCCCUUCAUCUUCAGAGUCUCAUUAUAGGUCUCCAUUAGCCCCUGUAUGAAGCAGGAGCUCCCUGGUGCUCACCUCACUGACAUGCAUUUUUAAAAGUGUGUCUCAGAUGGGGCUGUCUGUUCCUGUGGCUUUUAACGAAGCAACAACUUCAGUUUGUUAUUUUUUUUUCAGCAUGUUGAAAAGAUGCUCUGGAAAGACAACCCUCCUUCUGACUAGCAAAAGCAGUUUAGGCUAUUUGAAUCCCAUGAGCAACAGAAUGUGUCAGAGUGUGUGCUGUAAUCUCUGCCCUGGGUUGUUAGAGGCCUCUGCAUCACCAUGUGCCUAUUGCUGUGCUGGUGCUAUGUACAUCCUGCAUCACAACAGCACAGUCCCAAUUCGAAUUGCUUAAACUCUUAAGUGUUGGGGUGUGCAACUGGGAUGCAGGAAAACUUUUCUUGAUUAACUUGUCAACAGGACAUGUGACAAAUGAAGUCACCAAGUGCAACCUAGUAUGGUUGGAGUCUCAUGUUUCCUCUGGAUCUUGCCUAACAGCUAGUAAAUCACAAUACAGGGAUUGCAAGGCAAUGAGUAACCUUGCCAUUUGCUUGUGUCUCCCUUGCACCUUGCCAUGCAGCAGUUGGACCCAACAUGGCAUGAGCUGAUAUGGUCCUUAGCGUGAACUUCCUGCAAGCUGUAUAAUUCCAAGGAUGGUAACCUGCUUUAUACUGAAAUAAGCCCACUGACAGAACUGUUCAGACUGCUAGAUCAAGGCAAGUAUUUACCUACAUACACAGCUUGAAGAUCAAAGUUGUGUGAUGCUUCUUAUCUUCAGUAACCUUAUCCAUGGCUUGCAUACUACAGUGAAAUACACUUGUUUUGUGGUAAGUAUUCACAAUUUCUUUCCCCUUCUAACCAUGCUAUCUAUACUCAAAGUUUUUUCAUCCUCAGAAUAUAAGUAGUUCACUUUCAGUGACCCUUAAUGUACAAUUUAGUUAUUUUUUUUUACCAGGUGAGAAAUUGAAGAGAGGAACACUCCUUGCCUCUCUUUUCUGUAUGAUGGUGGCUAACAUGCUAUGGGGUAACUCUAGAAAAAAACCAAAGUCAUUCAUGUUAGGCCAGAUAACUUAAUCUCACAGAAUGUUUUAUUGCCAGCACAAAACUAUAGACAACAUGCUACCAGGCAGUAACGAGGCAUUAAAAUUAACAGUGUGCAAUGUGAGUUAUUGAACACUUCUGCAGCAGUCUUAAUUCUAAUUUAAUGCAAGGUGAAUUCAACAUUUGUUGUAUAUUUAACAUUACUGACUUUGAACUUUGCAGUAAAUGCAGAACUCAAAUGCACAAUUGCAUACACUAUUCAAUAAAGCAAAAUCCAAAAUGUAUCAUAAAUAAGUAUUUUAUAACUUUAUUAAACUCAAGACAUGACAAUAUUCAAAAUACAAAGUGAAUUAUUUUUUAUUCAAUACUGUACAUGAUGCAGAAAUAUCAGUGCAUUUCUAUAGCAUGUAUUUCACCUUCAUUUAGUUUGUACUAAAACAAAUAAAAAGUAAGCUUUAAAAUAGCUCAAACAUCUCAUUCAGCAGUUUAAACUGUAAACAGCUUGUUCACUUCUGUUAGGAGGAACACAUUCAUCUUCUGUACCCCCAUUAAUGAGCACCCUUUCUCUUGUGCUUUUCUGUAAGAGGAUAAAUGUAACCAAAAUGAGCAUGAGAAACUGCUAAUGUGGCACCUCAGUGAACUUCAGUGGAUGGCUGAGGCACAGUGAAGAAAAAUUAAACAGCAAGAAGCAGCAUCAAAGCAGCAAGAGACGGGACUGACACUGUUCAUAAAUGGAAUCAUGUUUUUCCCUCAUACCCUCCUCCUCCUCCCCUAAAAUACUGAACAGAAACCAAAACACAAGACCAGCUUGUGCUGUGUUUCUGUAUUUAAUACAGUCAGAAUUUCAGACUCUAGGUGAGCACACAGUUGUUACUGCCUACCUGACAGCAACCGUGUGGCUGCUCAGGACACUCUCACACGUAUCUAGGAUCCAGCAGGAAAAGAGCAGCAGCAGAGGCUUAGCAAUAGCUGGUCCAAGUCUCUUCUAGGAAAAACUGCAAAACUGAGCCAAGUGUGUCUAGCAAGUGAAUCCACAAAACCAACUCACUUUAAAAGUCUAUUAGCAUCAAAUUAAUUUGUAAAAUAGAUUAAACUUUCAAAAUGUGCUUCCAAUAUGCCUGCCAAGUCUUGAAGUGGGUAUCAAAUCUUGCAGUUACCUUCUUAUCAGGCUGACAUAGCCUAGUCAAAGAGAACAGAGUCUGUUCUCAGUACGGUUACUGUAUAAAAGAAAAUACCCAAUACAAAAACUGUACUGCA
Long non-coding RNA from Pipra filicauda (Wire-tailed manakin), 3654 nucleotides. RefSeq lists it as uncharacterized. The transcript has 2 exons. The record is from RefSeq and is a predicted model, not a curated record. Lineage: Eukaryota; Metazoa; Chordata; Aves; Passeriformes; Pipridae.